AAAUUGAAGAGUUUGAUCAUGGCUCAGAUUGAACGCUGGCGGCAGGCCUAACACAUGCAAGUCGAACGGUAACAGGAAGCAGCUUGCUGCUUYGCUGACGAGUGGCGGACGGGUGAGUAAUGUCUGGGAAACUGCCUGAUGGAGGGGGAUAACUACUGGAAACGGUGGCUAAUACCGCAUAACGUCGCAAGACCAAAGAGGGGGACCUUCGGGCCUCUUGCCAUCAGAUGUGCCCAGAUGGGAUUAGCUGGUUGGUGAGGUAACGGCUCACCAAGGCGACGAUCCCUAGCUGGUCUGAGAGGAUGACCAGCCACACUGGAACUGAGACACGGUCCAGACUCCUACGGGAGGCAGCAGUGGGGAAUAUUGCACAAUGGGCGCAAGCCUGAUGCAGCCAUGCCGCGUGUAUGAAGAAGGCCUUCGGGUUGUAAAGUACUUUCAGCGGGGAGGAAGGUGUUGUGGUUAAUAACCGCAGCAAUUGACGUUACCCGCAGAAGAAGCACCGGCUAACUCCGUGCCAGCAGCCGCGGUAAUACGGAGGGUGCAAGCGUUAAUCGGAAUUACUGGGCGUAAAGCGCACGCAGGCGGUCUGUCAAGUCGGAUGUGAAAUCCCCGGGCUCAACCUGGGAACUGCAUUCGAAACUGGCAGGCUUGAGUCUUGUAGAGGGGGGUAGAAUUCCAGGUGUAGCGGUGAAAUGCGUAGAGA
This 706-nucleotide ribosomal RNA is filed under the name Salmonella enterica. Its description in RNAcentral is "bacterial SSU rRNA". The record is from RNAcentral. Lineage: Bacteria; Pseudomonadati; Pseudomonadota; Gammaproteobacteria; Enterobacterales; Enterobacteriaceae.